GGGCAAUUAGCUCAGUUGGUAGAGCAUCUGACUUUUAAUCAGGUGGUCGCAGGUUCGAGCCCUGCAUUGCCCACCA
This 76-nucleotide transfer RNA is filed under the name Alphaproteobacteria bacterium. Its description in RNAcentral is "tRNA-Lys". It matches the Rfam family "tRNA". From Rfam's summary of the family: Transfer RNA (tRNA) molecules are approximately 80 nucleotides in length. Their secondary structure includes four short double-helical elements and three loops (D, anti-codon, and T loops). Lineage: Bacteria; Pseudomonadati; Pseudomonadota; Alphaproteobacteria. The record is from RNAcentral.